This 497-nucleotide ribosomal RNA is filed under the name uncultured bacterium. RNAcentral's name for it is "partial 16S ribosomal RNA". It matches the Rfam family "Bacterial small subunit ribosomal RNA", at positions 28 to 507 of the family's 1533-position model. The record is from RNAcentral.
GAUGAACGCUGGCGGCGUGCCUAAUACAUGCAAGUCGAGCGAACAGACGAGGAGCUUGCUCCUCUGACGUUAGCGGCGGACGGGUGAGUAACACGUGGAUAUCCUACCUAUAAGACUGGGAUAACUUCGGGAAACCGGAGCUAAUACCGGAUAACAUGUUGAACCGCAUGGUUCAACAGUGAAAGACGGUCUUGCUGUCACUUAUAGAUGGAUCCGCGCCGCAUUAGCUAGUUGGUAAGGUAACGGCUUACCAAGGCAACGAUGCGUAGCCGACCUGAGAGGGUGAUCGGCCACACUGGAACUGAGACACGGUCCAGACUCCUACGGGAGGCAGCAGUAGGGAAUCUUCCGCAAUGGGCGAAAGCCUGACGGAGCAACGCCGCGUGAGUGAAGAAGGUCUUCGGAUCGUAAAACUCUGUUAUUAGGGAAGAACAAAUGUGUAAGUAACUAUGCACGUCUUGACGGUACCUAAUCAGAAAGCCACGGCUAACUACGUG